RNAcentral lists this long non-coding RNA (569 nucleotides) under Ornithorhynchus anatinus (platypus). RNAcentral's name for it is "lncRNA (ENSOANG00000039269.1)". The record is from RNAcentral. Lineage: Eukaryota; Metazoa; Chordata; Mammalia; Monotremata; Ornithorhynchidae.
AGUCUCUCUGCCCUAGAUGUCCUAGUUUCCUUUGAAAUACCCUCCACCCUCCGGAGAAUUUCAAAGGAGAUGCAGCUUCUUCUCCCCACCAUAGAUAGCCCAAGGGUGAAGCAAUUCCGUGAUUCUGCAAUUCCAAGACCACUUUAUUGUUAAUUGGUCACCCGUGUGUUAACUGACAUUCUCCAUUUUCUACCUCUACAUCAGUCCUUCCUUUUUAUUUGCAGCUAAGAACGUCUCUCUCAAUCAGUUAUAAAGUACUUUCCCAAAUGGUUUCUGCAGUGCUCUAUACCCAAUAAGAGUUCAAGAAAUCCAACUGAUCCAUUUCUACCCAUGAAGAGAAAGUGGAAAGCAAAGGAUUCGAGGCUGGGCCAGACUUCAAGCUCACCGUGGACAGGGUAUGCGUCUCUUCAUCGCCGUAGCGUUCUCUUCCCUUCAUCGCCCUGUGCGGCCAGCGAUCAUCUUUGUUGUGAGAAGGUGAAGUUUUCACCCUCCGAAGCAGUGAUAAGCCGGAGGAAGACCAUCUUUCCUUCCGGAAUCCCCGUUGGAUGUUUGGGCAACAGAUGGUAGCU